This 403-nucleotide ribosomal RNA is filed under the name uncultured Oscillibacter sp. RNAcentral's name for it is "bacterial SSU rRNA". It matches the Rfam family "Bacterial small subunit ribosomal RNA", at positions 356 to 774 of the family's 1533-position model. The record is from RNAcentral. Lineage: Bacteria; Bacillati; Bacillota; Clostridia; Eubacteriales; Oscillospiraceae.
GGGGAAUAUAGGGCAAUGGAAGAAAGUCGGACCCAGCAACGCGGCGAAAAGGAAGAAGGCUUACGGGUUGUAAACUUCUUUUAAGGGGGAAGAGUAGAAGACGGUACCCCUGGAAUAAGCCACGGUUAACUACGUGCCAGCAGCCGCGGUAAAACGUAGGUGGCAAGCGUUGUCCGGAUUUACUGGGUGUAAAGGGCGUGUAGCCGGGAAGGCAAGUCAGAUGUGAAAUCUGGAGGCUCAACCUCCAAACUGCAUUUGAAACUGCUUUUCUUGAGUGUCGGAGAGGUAAUCGGAAUUCCUUGUGUAGCGGUGAAAUGCGUAGAUAUAAGGAAGAACACCAGUGGCGAAGGCGGAUUACUGGACGAUAACUGACGGUGAGGCGCGAAAGCGUGGGGAGCAAACA